This 1315-nucleotide long non-coding RNA is filed under the name Oryzias javanicus (javanese ricefish). RNAcentral's name for it is "lncRNA (ENSOJAG00000022863.1)". The record is from RNAcentral. Lineage: Eukaryota; Metazoa; Chordata; Actinopteri; Beloniformes; Adrianichthyidae.
UGUAAAGAAUAAAAGUAAAAUCAUUUAAACAGGUUUAAAUUCCCAUUUUCUUCUCAGAACUCUGAGGCUGUUCAGGAUGAAGAUCAACAGUUUCCAUCACUGAAAGACAACCAGUUUUCUGAACAGGAGCUCAUCUCUGCGCGCUCUGCAUUGCUUCACUCACUGGAGGAUGGAGGUAGUUCAUCUGGAACUUUAGCUGGUUAUUCUGGUGAACUUAGUCCCAGGAAACCAGACCAGGGCAAAGAGUCUGAGGGGUCUGCGGCCAGCUUUGAGGAAAAUCUUAACGCAAAGAAGACAAUCCAGAGGACAGAGGAAAGUGAGGAGGUCAGUCCCACUGGGAGGACUGAUGGGGAAUGUCCUCCAAAACAUAAAUGCUCAGAGGAGUCCUUUCCUUCAGAUGAGAGUUUGAGUGAAGCAUGCAGACUCUGUGACUCUGAUAUCGAGACAAACACAAAUGCUGCUGGAGCUUCUGGGGGGCGUGUCCAUGUUCAGAUAGUUCAGGGAACCAUCGAGACUCAGGAGACAGACGCUCUGGUGUCUCCCAUGGUCGGCUAUAAACACCUGUCUACUCGUCUUGGAAACAUCCUAGAAAACAUAGUUGGCUCUCGUCUCACUGAAAACUUCAUAGAAGCAUCAGGAGACGAAUGGAUCCCGGGGAACUUUGUGCUGGUAGAGGGACUCCCUGGACUUCCUUCCAGCGCAGCGUUCUUCCUCGAUCUCAUUCCAUGGAAUGAAGAUGAAGAUGGAACUGCAGUUCAGGUGGGAUCUUCUUUCUGGAGGUCACUCUGUGAGAAUAGUGUCCGUCAAACAAACAAACUCAUUGGGCUGUUUUUGAUUGCCUUCAGAUUCUAAGGUCAGGGAUCAACAACAUCCUAACUUCCUGUGACGACAAAGGCUUCAGAUCUGUGGCUCUUCCUGCACUCGGAGAUGGAAUUGUCCUGGGUUUUCCUAUCAGUUUGGUAGCCAGAGUCAUACUAGAGGAGCUUUAUAAAUAUGAACGUGAGCGAGUCAGCAGCACAGACCUCUCAGUUCGUAUUGUCCUUCUGCCUGAAAACAAAAAAGCUAUAGAGGUGAGAAAAACUGAUUUUGCAGCUUUAAAAGUUUACUAAAUAUUUUACAACUUUUUGCUGUCUUUCUUUACAACAAAAGCGAAAAUAUGUGUCGUGUGUUACUUGAGAGCAUCCUCUACGUCAGACAGUUCUGUAGAUCUGAAGUAAACAGAGACUCCAGACAUUCCAAACCUCAUAUAAACUGAGAAUAGGUCUUAAAAUGACAAAGAAAGAUCAGACAGAAUAGUAAAGGUUCAAAAUGAUUU